Molecule: ribosomal RNA, 424 nt
Filed under: uncultured bacterium
Lineage: Bacteria
Description: bacterial SSU rRNA
Rfam family: Bacterial small subunit ribosomal RNA
Source: RNAcentral
GGAAUCUUCCACAAUGGACGAAAGUCUGAUGGAGCAACGCCGCGUGAGUGAUGAAGGCCUUCGGGUCGUAAAACUCUGUUGUUAGGGAAGAACCAGUACCGUUCGAAUAGGGCGGUACCUUGACGGUACCUAACCAGAAAGCCACGGCGAACUACGUGCCAGCAGCCGCGGUAAUACGUAGGUGGCAAGCGUUGUCCGGAAUUAUUGGGCGUAAAGCGCGCGCAGGCGGUCCGUUAAGUCUGAUGUGAAAGCCCACGGCUCAACCGUGGAGGGUCAUUGGAAACUGGGGGACUUGAGUGCAGAAGAGAAGAGCGGAAUUCCACGUGUAGCGGUGAAAUGCGUAGAGAUGUGGAGGAACACCAGUGGCGAAGGCGGCUCUUUGGUCUGUAACUGACGCUGAGGCGCGAAAGCGUGGGGAGCAAAC